This is a long non-coding RNA of Leptinotarsa decemlineata (Colorado potato beetle), 349 nucleotides long. RefSeq lists it as uncharacterized. Lineage: Eukaryota; Metazoa; Arthropoda; Insecta; Coleoptera; Chrysomelidae. The record is from RefSeq and is a predicted model, not a curated record.
CUGUUGCAUGAAGGCUAUAAAAUUUGAUGUGGUUUUGAUAUACAGAAUCAAUAGAAAUCGAAAGUAAUAGAUUUAAUGUGUUGAAGUACAAAUGCAUACACCGAGUGACAUUUUUGAGAUGUCUAGUACUUUUUGCUGCACUUUUCGAAGACAGUUUACGUUAAAUCGACCAUCGGCUAAAGAUUUCCUUUGGAAGGUAUUGAUUUCCUUCUAAUUUGCAAAUAUACUCAUUCGUCUUUUUAAUAUAUAUUUGACCAAUGUGUUUCAUACGGAACUUCGGAAGAGCUACAUGAUUUGAUUAUUUGUUUUUUGGAAAUCCUGACUUCAAAAUAAAUUAUACUAUAUGGAU